CUGCAGUCAGUUAAGCCAGUCAAGUUCCUUUGUCACCAGGUCUGGGGGGCAGUGGACACUAACAGCAGCCUCCUUGGGAAUGUACACAGCCUCUUUCCCUCAUGGAUGGCUCUAAGAGGCCUUGAAGACAUUU
This 133-nucleotide small nucleolar RNA is filed under the name Microtus ochrogaster (prairie vole). Its description in RNAcentral is "Small nucleolar RNA SNORA70 (ENSMOCG00000005854.1)". It matches the Rfam family "Small nucleolar RNA SNORA70". From Rfam's summary of the family: snoRNA U70 seems to be exclusive to mammals and is a member of the H/ACA class of snoRNA which contain H (ANANNA) and ACA box motifs. H/ACA box snoRNAs are involved in the conversion of uridines to pseudouridines (5-ribosyluracil) a constituent of structural RNAs (transfer, ribosomal, small nuclear, and small nucleolar). Lineage: Eukaryota; Metazoa; Chordata; Mammalia; Rodentia; Cricetidae. The record is from RNAcentral.